Molecule: non-coding RNA, 21 nt
Organism: Caenorhabditis elegans
Lineage: Eukaryota; Metazoa; Nematoda; Chromadorea; Rhabditida; Rhabditidae
Source: Ensembl
UUAGUCCUCAAUUUUUUCACG